This 897-nucleotide ribosomal RNA is filed under the name Stagonospora forlicesenensis. RNAcentral describes it as "eukaryotic LSU rRNA". It matches the Rfam family "Eukaryotic large subunit ribosomal RNA", at positions 56 to 977 of the family's 3401-position model. The record is from RNAcentral. Lineage: Eukaryota; Fungi; Ascomycota; Dothideomycetes; Pleosporales; Massarinaceae.
GACCAACUGGGAUUGCCCUAGUAACGGCGAGUGAAGCGGCAAUAGCUCAAAUUUGAAAUCUGGCUCCUUUUAGGGGUCCGAGUUGUAAUUUGCAGAGGGUGCUUUGGCGUUGGUAGCGGUCUAAGUUCCUUGGAACAGGACAUCGCAGAGGGUGAGAAUCCCGUUUGUGGUCGCAUGCCUUCGCCGUGUAAAGCCCCUUCGACGAGUCGAGUUGUUUGGGAAUGCAGCUCUAAAUGGGAGGUAAAUUUCUUCUAAAGCUAAAUACUGGCCAGAGACCGAUAGCGCACAAGUAGAGUGAUCGAAAGAUGAAAAGCACUUUGGAAAGAGAGUCAAACAGCACGUGAAAUUGUUGAAAGGGAAGCGCUUGCAGUCAGACUUGCCCGUAGUUGCUCACCUAGGCUUUUGCCUGGGGCAUUCUUCUGCGGGCAGGCCAGCAUCAGUUUGGGCGGUCGGAUAAAGGUCUCUGUCAUGUAGCUUCCUUCGGGAAGAACUUAUAGGGGAGGCGAAAUGCGACCAGCCCGGACUGAGGUCCGCGCUUCUGCUAGGAUGCUGGCGUAAUGGCUGUAAGCGGCCCGUCUUGAAACACGGACCAAGGAGUCUAACAUCUAUGCGAGUGUUUGGGUGUCAAGCCCGAGCGCGUAAUGAAAGUGAACGGAGGUGGGAACCCUUUGGGUGCACCAUCGACCGAUCCUGAUGUCUUCGGAUGGAUUUGAGUAAGAGCAUAGCUGUUGGGACCCGAAAGAUGGUGAACUAUGCUUGAAUAGGGUGAAGCCAGAGGAAACUCUGGUGGAGGCUCGCAGCGGUUCUGACGUGCAAAUCGAUCGUCAAAUUUGGGCAUAGGGGCGAAAGACUAAUCGAACUAUCUAGUAGCUGGUUCCUGCCGAAGUCUCUCCCCGG